UGGACAGAAGCCCAAUAACUGAAUGUGGAUACAUUAUAAAGCAAUCACUUCCCAAGAUCUUGAGCUCCAAGGCACAUGUAGAGUCCACCAAAUUGGAAGGGACCCACUAGGAUUGAGUUCAGCUCCCAACCCUGGACAGGACAUCCCCAAGAGUCACAUCCCAAUAUAAAAGCCAAACUCACAUGUAAGCAAGCAACAACCAAGGGCUGGAAAGAAAAAGAAAUACCUUAAGAAGACUAAGUUUUGAAUAUAUUUUCAUACAAGAAUGAGGAACUUCCAAAAUCUCAAUUUGUUCAAAGAAACACCCAGGGAUGGGAGCCUACUGCCAGACUUUGGAGCAGCGUGGAUAUGACACAAUUGCCAUGGCUUAUAGCUCUGCAGACCUCACAGCGUUCCUGAGAGACUCAGAUACGGUGUGUAUCCUUCUCUAUCAUUUCAGGCAUUGUUACCUGCUUCGAAAGCUAACCCACAACCUGUAAAUCUUGUUGCAAUAAUGAAGCUUGGCACUGCCCGUUGGCGCCGCCUCCUCCUCCUCCUCCUCUCUUUCUCCUUCUCUCCGUGCCUGGGGUUGGCCGCAGCCGGAGCUCAGAGCAUGCUUGUGCUGUGGUGCCAAGCAGCCUCAGGCUUCUGCCAAGCAACUGCCUGUUUUGUCUUUGGCUGCUGUGUGUAAAAUGGCAGAUCUAAUGAGACAUCACGGAGCAGCUGGUUUUGGCUGUUUCUCUGGCGCAACUGAUUAUAGCCACAAGUUGGGGUGUGAACCAGUUGUACCUCAAAGACCAUUUUCACCCAGGUGAACUCCUUUGAACAUUCCUCAGUGGUAGCAAUUUCCUGGUCCCGGCCCCAGCACUUCACCUGUGCCAGGCUCCACUCUUUGUCCUCCCAUCCCACUGCAGUUUCCUUCUUGUGUACAUGGGACACCCAAAGCCCUGCCAAAUGCUUAAGCAAGUGACCAGUUCAGAGUGAGAGCUGUUUGAAAAUAACUCCCAGCUCUGCAGGGAGGGAUACUCAGAGGGACAGACAUUUCCCCCUCUGCCUUCUGCAGAGCRUGGAUCCCAGAAUGUCAGGUCAGGGAUCACCCAUGCUGUGUGAAKGUGUUCGUGGUGACUGCUCUCUGCAAAAAGACAUAAGCCAUAAACAUUGUAAUGGAAGACUGCAGUUCUGGCUUUGAAAAUACAAUUAACUCCAAGAGGUCUGUUCUUCCUUGGUUUAUGCAGAUGAGUAAUACCAAUGGAACUUACACAUAUGGACAUCGAGAGGAAGCUUAUUUUACUUGAAAUUAAUACAUGUCAAACUUUUUUUUUUUUUUUAAAUUAUUAUCUUCAAGCUGCAUUUAAGCACCCAGAGCCUUGAACUGAACUGAAAAAAAUGUUGUAAUUGGUAUAAUUCUUAGCUCUUU
Malurus melanocephalus (red-backed fairy wren) is the source of this 1396-nucleotide long non-coding RNA. RefSeq lists it as uncharacterized. The transcript has 4 exons. The record is from RefSeq and is a predicted model, not a curated record. NCBI's taxonomy places the organism in Eukaryota, Metazoa, Chordata, Aves, Passeriformes, Maluridae.